CCUACGGGAGGCAGCAGUGGGGAAUAUUGCGCAAUGGGCGAAAGCCUGACGCAGCGACGCCGCGUGAGGGAUGAAGGUCUUCGGAUCGUAAACCUCUGUCAGCAGGGAAGAACGGUCACUGUGCUAAUCAGCAGUGAAUUGACGGUACCUGCAAAGGAAGCACCGGCUAACUCAGUGCAAGCAGCCGCGGUAAUACGGAGGGUGCGAGCGUUAAUAGGAAUUAAGGGGCGUAAAGCGCGCGUAGGCGGUAUGGCAAGUCAAGGGUGAAAUACCCGCGCUCAACGUGGGAACUGCCUUUGAAACUGGCAAACUGGAGUGUGUGAGAGGAUAGUGGAAUUCCAGGUGUAGGAGUGAAAUCCGUAGAUAUCUGGAGGAACAUCAGUGGCGAAGGCGACUAUCUGGCACAUAACUGACGCUGAGGAGCGAAAGCGUGGGUAGCAAACAGGAUUAGAUACCCCUGUAGUC
RNAcentral lists this ribosomal RNA (465 nucleotides) under uncultured bacterium. RNAcentral describes it as "partial 16S ribosomal RNA". It matches the Rfam family "Bacterial small subunit ribosomal RNA", at positions 338 to 795 of the family's 1533-position model. The record is from RNAcentral.